This is a long non-coding RNA of Lolium rigidum, 972 nucleotides long. RefSeq lists it as uncharacterized. The record is from RefSeq and is a predicted model, not a curated record. NCBI's taxonomy places the organism in Eukaryota, Viridiplantae, Streptophyta, Magnoliopsida, Poales, Poaceae. The transcript has 9 exons.
GAUGGCGGCGCGUAUAGAGAUAAUUAACGAGGACAGGUGCAAGCCCAAGAAGACCUGCCCCCGUCGUCAAGGCCGGGAGGCAUCGCAUCGGAGUCAAUCCGUCAUCCAAGUUUGUCUUCAUCUCUGAAGAGGCUGUGAAUAGCUUGGGUUAUUUGCGUCGAGGGAUACCCUUCCAUACAAAUAAUCAACCUCCCUAAAGAUUUGGACAAAGAUCUCACCCAUCGCUACGAGCCAAACAACUUCAAAUUGCUCAGGUUGCCAGUUACGAGACCUGGCCAGGUUUUUGGCCUUGUUGGAGCCAAUGGAACUGGAAAAACGUGUUAUGAGAUGAUUCAAAAAUCCACCUGCUUGGUGGGAAGUCCUUACAUACUUGCGGGGUCUGAACUACAGAAUUACUUUACGCGUUUCUUGGAUGAUAACCUCAAGAUUGAGGAAGCCCAGGGAAGUGCUGAAGUGAUUGUGACAUACCAGCAUUUCAAGCUCACUGCCAUGCAAGGUGAAUUCACCGAUUCUCAGAUUGUUUUGAUGCUUGGUGAGAAUUGAACAGGGAAAUUCAUCAAAAUGCUGAUUGCCCGGAUUGCAACGAGUGCGAUUGCGAUAACUGUCUGAACACCGAUCAAGACUGAAUAGAAGGUCAAAGGCGAGAACUGGGAGUCCGACUCUUACACAUAAAAACGUUACCCUGCUCAACCUGAACUUCCAAGCAGCAGAAGAUAGAACUAUGAUACUUCUCUACGCGAACUUGGAAAUAAGAUAUGGACAACAUUUCAAGGACAACCAAAUUCAUCUGUGGGGUUUCUUUUUUGGUAUUCUGCAGUCCCCAAGUAGAGAAAUUGUGAAGAGCAAUAGUUUAGUUUCCUCUUGCUUCGAGUUAAAAAAAAAUGAUUUGAAUUCUUCAGUUUCCUUUUCCUUUUCAUGUUCAUGUAUGAACGAUUUAACCUGCGCUAGUUUCAAGUUUCUGAAAAUUUGCCA